This 119-nucleotide ribosomal RNA is filed under the name Pteropus alecto (black flying fox). Lineage: Eukaryota; Metazoa; Chordata; Mammalia; Chiroptera; Pteropodidae. The record is from RNAcentral.
AUCUACCCCCAUGCUACACUGAACCAGCGCCAUCCGGUCUGAUCUCCGAAGCUAAGCAGGGUCGGGCCUGUUUAGUACUUGGAUGGGAAACCACCUAGGAAGACCAGGUGCUAUGGGUG